GAUGAACGCUAGCUACAGGCUUAACACAUGCAAGUCGAGGGGCAGCAUUGAGUGCUUGCUAAGGCCGAUGGCGACCGGCGCACGGGUGAGUAACACGUAUCCAACCUGCCGUCUACUCUUGGACAGCCUUCUGAAAGGAAGAUUAAUACAAGAUGGCAUCAUGAGUCCACAUGUUCACAUGAUUAAAGGUAUUCCGGUAGACGAUGGGGAUGCGUUCCAUUAGAUAGUAGGCGGGGUAACGGCCCACCUAGUCUUCGAUGGAUAGGGGUUCUGAGAGGAAGGUCCCCCACAUUGGAACUGAGACACGGUCCAAACUCCUACGGGAGGCAGCAGUGAGGAAUAUUGGUCAAUGGGCGAGAGCCUGAACCAGCCAAGUAGCGUGAAGGAUGACUGCCCUAUGGGUUGUAAACUUCUUUUAUAAAGGAAUAAAGUCGGGUAUGGAUACCCGUUUGCAUGUACUUUAUGAAUAAGGAUCGGCUAACUCCGUGCCAGCAGCCGCGGUAAUACGGAGGAUCCGAGCGUUAUCCGGAUUUAUUGGGUUUAAAGGGAGCGUAGAUGGAUGUUUAAGUCAGUUGUGAAAGUUUGCGGGCUCAACCGUAAAAUUGCAGUUGAUACUGGAUAUCUUGAGUGCAGUUGAGGCAGGCGGAAUUCGUGGUGUAGCGGUGAAAUGCUUAGAUAUCACGAAGAACUCCGAUUGCGAAGGCAGCCUGCUAAGCUGCAACUGACAUUGAGGCUCGAAAGUGUGGGUAUCAAACAGGAUUAGAUACCCUGGUAGUCCACACGGUAAACGAUGAAUACUCGCUGUUUGCGAUAUACAGCAAGCGGCCAAGCGAAAGCGUUAAGUAUUCCACCUGGGGAGUACGCCGGCAACGGUGAAACUCAAAGGAAUUGACGGGGGCCCGCACAAGCGGAGGAACAUGUGGUUUAAUUCGAUGAUACGCGAGGAACCUUACCCGGGCUUAAAUUGCAGAUGAAUUACGGUGAAAGCCGUAAGCCGCAAGGCAUCUGUGAAGGUGCUGCAUGGUUGUCGUCAGCUCGUGCCGUGAGGUGUCGGCUUAAGUGCCAUAACGAGCGCAACCCUUGUUGUCAGUUACUAACAGGUUCCGCUGAGGACUCUGACAAGACUGCCAUCGUAAGAUGUGAGGAAGGUGGGGAUGACGUCAAAUCAGCACGGCCCUUACGUCCGGGGCUACACACGUGUUACAAUGGGGGGUACAGAGGGCCGCUACCACGCGAGUGGAUGCCAAUCCCAAAAACCUCUCUCAGUUCGGACUGGAGUCUGCAACCCGACUCCACGAAGCUGGAUUCGCUAGUAAUCGCGCAUCAGCCACGGCGCGGUGAAUACGUUCCCGGGCCU
RNAcentral lists this ribosomal RNA (1357 nucleotides) under uncultured bacterium. RNAcentral describes it as "bacterial SSU rRNA". It matches the Rfam family "Bacterial small subunit ribosomal RNA", at positions 28 to 1381 of the family's 1533-position model. The record is from RNAcentral.